RNAcentral lists this ribosomal RNA (252 nucleotides) under uncultured bacterium. Its description in RNAcentral is "partial 16S ribosomal RNA". It matches the Rfam family "Bacterial small subunit ribosomal RNA", at positions 524 to 776 of the family's 1533-position model. The record is from RNAcentral.
UACGUAGGUCCCGAGCGUUGUCCGGAUUUAUUGGGCGUAAAGCGGGCGCAGGUGGUUUAUUAAGUCUGGUGUAAAAGGCAGUGGCUCAACCAUUGUAUGCGUUGGAAACUGGUAGACUUGAGUGCAGGAGAGGAGAGUGGAAUUCCAUGUGUAGCGGUGAAAUGCGUAGAUAUAUGGAGGAACACCGGUGGCGAAAGCGGCUCUCUGGCCUGUAACUGACACUGAGGCUCGAAAGCGUGGGGAGCAAACAGG